This is a long non-coding RNA of Carassius gibelio (silver crucian carp), 1296 nucleotides long. RefSeq lists it as uncharacterized. The transcript is spliced from 3 exons. Lineage: Eukaryota; Metazoa; Chordata; Actinopteri; Cypriniformes; Cyprinidae. The record is from RefSeq and is a predicted model, not a curated record.
UACUGUUCAACUUUGCUGAAUGAGCCCAUUAGUGGUCUCCCGCUGCCAUCUAGUGGUUCUAAAUUGCAUUUACUCAAGCAACACUGUGUUUUUAAAUAUAACUGUUAUAGUGUUGUUAUUUUUUUUGACCAAUCUCUCUUAAAUUUUGCAUGCUUGUUUAGAAUGAAAUUAUGCAUUAUUUUACACAGUUUUGAUAAUUUGUGGGCUUUCUGUUUGUAUUAAUAGGCCUUAGUGUACACUAUGCAAAUAACAUAUUAUAAAAUUACUGGUUUAUAGUUGUCCAAAUGCAACUGUUCAACAUGUUUUUGAUAAUUAUUGACCUUCAGAGUCUAGAGAAUUGUACUUCAGUGGUUUUAUUGAUUUUCAGCUUAUACCCUAUCACUAGUUUGCCAAAGUAACUUUUUGAAAUAAUCUUGAAUAUUUAAUUAACAGCUUUAUUGACAACAUUGGUCCCAGAGGCAAAGUUGUUCAGAAUGAGGAGAUCUAUCAUAUGAUAUGAAGAUCUAGUGUUUUUGAGUGAAUAUAUGAGCAUUUUCAAACAAUUUGAGGCCAAUUACCAUAUAAAUCUUGUGUUUUGAGACCUUUUCUACUGUUAUAGCGCCACCUAUGGUGCGAUCUCCAUGAAACUUUGCAUGCUUGUUAAGAGUUACCUGUUACAUGUUCUCACCACGUUUCAUAAAGUUUUGAGUUUUCGUUUAGGUUUUAUAGGCUUUGGGGUAUGUUUGGCCACACCCCUUUUCUUAAUUACCCAUUUAACGCUAACCAAAGUACAAAAUUGAACAUUUUUUUGAUAAUUAUUGAUCUAGACAGUCCACAGAAUAUUACUGCCGUGGUUUGGUUCCGAUCGGACAAAAAACCUAGGACUAGUUCGCAAAAGUAGUUUUUUAACAUAUUUGUGAAUAACAAUUGAACGAUUUGAUUGACAGCAAUGGUUCUUGAGGCAAAGUUGUGCAUUAUGAGGAGAUCUAUCAAAUGAUAUGCAUAUUGUGUUGAUAUGUGAAACACCACGUGAUUACAGAGCCAUAAAACUCGUUAGCGCCAACUAGUGGCCGAUUUCUUUCAAAAUUCUUACAGACCUUAAGGUUCAUGAGUCGAACGUACCCAGCGAGUUUCGUUCCGAUCAACAUCCGUUAACCCUUUCAAAUAGGUGCUUAAAUUUGUUUGGCCAAUGGCGGCCAUGUUUUUUGAGAUAUGCAAAUGUCCUCAUAGGUACUUGUGCCCCUUCAGACCAAGACACUGCAUACCGAUUUUCAAGUCGAUCGAGCCAACGGUUGCCUAGUUAUAGCAAUUUAUGUG